GAGUGGUGUUUGGAUCGUCCCUGCCGGCUGGCUCCGUGCCCGUCCACCGAACGGUCGGCAGGCGGUCCGCGUCGUUCAUUUUGGGUGGUAUGGUUCCCCAGAGGCUGGUUCUUGUGCUGCCUACCCCAUCAGGGGAAGCGGGCCACAUGAUGUAAGCCUCCAUCCGGCGCCCCCCAACGGGCGCAGGAGGACAAUGGAGCACCCCCCGCGUUCCACCGAGCCUUGGCCGGUCGCGUGGCGCGCGGGGACGUGCGAUGCUCUCGGACCCAGCGAACGCCGUGGGCGAGGACUCACGUCCCAGUCCCGAUAGAAGCUCCGAUAUGAUGCAUGACGGCCGUUCCCGACCCCCGACCGCCCCGGCGGCGCGGGGGCGAGGCGCGGCGUCGCGGAGGAAUGCUACCUGGUUGAUCCUGCCAGUAGUCAUAUGCUUGUCUCAAAGAUUAAGCCAUGCAUGUGA
This 457-nucleotide unclassified non-coding RNA is filed under the name Acacia sp. CJ43. Its description in RNAcentral is "partial contains external transcribed spacer and 18S ribosomal RNA". The stretch from base 398 to 457 matches the Rfam family "Eukaryotic small subunit ribosomal RNA", at positions 1 to 60 of the family's 1831-position model. The record is from RNAcentral. Lineage: Eukaryota; Viridiplantae; Streptophyta; Magnoliopsida; Fabales; Fabaceae.